CAGGGCUUUCGUCUUGUAAUUGGAAUGAUGGUGAUGUACAACCUCACCAGAGUACCAAUUGGAGGGCAAGUCUGGUGCCAGCAGCCGCGGUAAUUCCAGCUCCAAUAGCGUAUAUUAAACUUGUUGCAGUUAAAAAUCUCGUAGUUGUAUUUCAGCCUCGCGUGUUUUCCCUCUUUUUGGGUCUUUUCGCUGGCUUUCUUUUUACUUUGAGAAAAUUAGAGUGUUUCAAGCAGGUUUCGCCUGUAUAAUUGAGCAUGGAAUAACCUUGUAUGACCCUGUCGUACCGUUGGUUGACUUUGGGUAAUGGUUAAUAGGAACGGUUGGGGGCAUUCGUACUCGACUGUCAGAGGUGAAAUUCUUAGAUUUGUCGAUGACGCACGACUGCGAAAGCAUUUGCCAAGGACGCUUCCAUUAAUCAAGAAC
RNAcentral lists this ribosomal RNA (423 nucleotides) under Babesia sp. Its description in RNAcentral is "SSU rRNA". It matches the Rfam family "Eukaryotic small subunit ribosomal RNA", at positions 486 to 984 of the family's 1831-position model. The record is from RNAcentral. Lineage: Eukaryota; Apicomplexa; Aconoidasida; Piroplasmida; Babesiidae.